GAGUUUGAUCGUGGCUCAGGAUGAACGCCGGCGGUGUGCCUAAUACAUGCAAGUCGUACGCACUGGCCCAACUGAUUGAUGGUGCUUGCACCUGAUUGACGAUGGAUCACCAGUGAGUGGCGGACGGGUGAGUAACACGUAGGUAACCUGCCCCGGAGCGGGGAUAACAUUUGGAAACAGAUGCUAAUACCGCAUAACAACAAAGGCCACAUGGCUUUUGUUUGAAAGAUGGCUUUGGCCAUCACUCUGGGAUGGACCUGCGGUGCAUUAGCUAGUUGGUAAGGUAACGGCUUACCAAGGCGAUGAUGCAUAGCCGAGUUGAGAGACUGAUCGGCCACAAUGGAACUGAGGCACGGUCCAUACUCCUACGGGAGGCAGCAGUAGGAAUCUUCACAAUGGCGCAAGCCUGAUGGAGCAACACCGCGUGAGUGAAGUAAGGGUUCGCUCGUAAAGCUCUGUUGUUGGAGAAGAACGUGCGUGAGAGU
RNAcentral lists this ribosomal RNA (485 nucleotides) under uncultured microorganism. Its description in RNAcentral is "bacterial SSU rRNA". It matches the Rfam family "Bacterial small subunit ribosomal RNA", at positions 9 to 462 of the family's 1533-position model. The record is from RNAcentral.